This 1485-nucleotide ribosomal RNA is filed under the name Streptococcus thermophilus. RNAcentral's name for it is "16S ribosomal RNA". It matches the Rfam family "Bacterial small subunit ribosomal RNA". Lineage: Bacteria; Bacillati; Bacillota; Bacilli; Lactobacillales; Streptococcaceae. The record is from RNAcentral.
AGGACGAACGCUGGCGGCGUGCCUAAUACAUGCAAGUAGAACGCUGAAGAGAGGAGCUUGCUCUUCUUGGAUGAGUUGCGAACGGGUGAGUAACGCGUAGGUAACCUGCCUUGUAGCGGGGGAUAACUAUUGGAAACGAUAGCUAAUACCGCAUAACAAUGGAUGACACAUGUCAUUUAUUUGAAAGGGGCAAUUGCUCCACUACAAGAUGGACCUGCGUUGUAUUAGCUAGUAGGUGAGGUAAUGGCUCACCUAGGCGACGAUACAUAGCCGACCUGAGAGGGUGAUCGGCCACACUGGGACUGAGACACGGCCCAGACUCCUACGGGAGGCAGCAGUAGGGAAUCUUCGGCAAUGGGGGCAACCCUGACCGAGCAACGCCGCGUGAGUGAAGAAGGUUUUCGGAUCGUAAAGCUCUGUUGUAAGUCAAGAACGGGUGUGAGAGUGGAAAGUUCACACUGUGACGGUAGCUUACCAGAAAGGGACGGCUAACUACGUGCCAGCAGCCGCGGUAAUACGUAGGUCCCGAGCGUUGUCCGGAUUUAUUGGGCGUAAAGCGAGCGCAGGCGGUUUGAUAAGUCUGAAGUUAAAGGCUGUGGCUCAACCAUAGUUCGCUUUGGAAACUGUCAAACUUGAGUGCAGAAGGGGAGAGUGGAUUCCAUGUGUAGCGGUGAAAUGCGUAGAUAUAUGGAGGAACACCGGUGGCGAAAGCGGCUCUCUGGGUCUGUAACUGACGCUGAGGCUCGAAAGCGUGGGGAGCGAACAGGAUUAGAUACCCUGGUAGUCCACGGCCGUAAACGAUGAGUGCUAGGUGUUGGAUCCUUUCCGGGAUUCAGUGCCGCAGCUAACGCAUUAAGCACUCCGCCUGGGGAGUACGACCGCAAGGUUGAAACUCAAAGGAAUUGACGGGGGCCCGCACAAGCGGUGGAGCAUGUGGUUUAAUUCGAAGCAACGCGAAGAACCUUACCAGGUCUUGACAUCCCGAUGCUAUUUCUAGAGAUAGAAAGUUACUUCGGUACAUCGGUGACAGGUGGUGCAUGGUUGUCGUCAGCUCGUGUCGUGAGAUGUUGGGUUAAGUCCCGCAACGAGCGCAACCCCUAUUGUUAGUUGCCAUCAUUCAGUUGGGCACUCUAGCGAGACUGCCGGUAAUAAACCGGAGGAAGGUGGGGAUGACGUCAAAUCAUCAUGCCCCUUAUGACCUGGGCUACACACGUGCUACAAUGGUUGGUACAACGAGUUGCGAGUCGGUGACGGCGAGCUAAUCUCUUAAAGCCAAUCUCAGUUCGGAUUGUAGGCUGCAACUCGCCUACAUGAAGUCGGAAUCGCUAGUAAUCGCGGAUCAGCACGCCGCGGUGAAUACGUUCCCGGGCCUUGUACACACCGCCCGUCACACCACGAGAGUUUGUAACACCCGAAGUCGGUGAGGUAACCUUUUGGAGCCAGCCGCCUAAGGUGGGACAGAUGAUUUGGGGUGAAGUCGUAACA